RNAcentral lists this ribosomal RNA (1111 nucleotides) under Alkalibacillus halophilus. Its description in RNAcentral is "bacterial SSU rRNA". It matches the Rfam family "Bacterial small subunit ribosomal RNA", at positions 56 to 1135 of the family's 1533-position model. The record is from RNAcentral. Lineage: Bacteria; Bacillati; Bacillota; Bacilli; Caryophanales; Bacillaceae.
UGCAGUCGAGCGCGGGAAGCGAGCAGAAGCCCUUCGGGGUGGACGCUCGUGGAACGAGCGGCGGACGGGUGAGUAACACGUGGGCAACCUACCUGUGAGACGGGGAUAACUCCGGGAAACCGGGGCUAAUACCGGAUAACGCAUCGAACCGCAUGGUUCGAUGAUCAAAGAUGGCUUCUAGCUAUCACUCACAGAUGGGCCCGCGGCGCAUUAGUUAGUUGGUGGGGUAACGGCUCACCAAGGCGACGAUGCGUAGCCGACCUGAGAGGGUGAUCGGCCACACUGGGACUGAGACACGGCCCAGACUCCUACGGGAGGCAGCAGUAGGGAAUCAUCCGCAAUGGACGCAAGUCUGACGGUGCAACGCCGCGUGAGCGAUGAAGGUCUUCGGAUCGUAAAGCUCUGUUGUGAGGGAAGAACAAGUGCCGUUCGAAUAGGGCGGCACCUUGACGGUACCUCACCAGAAAGCCCCGGCUAACUACGUGCCAGCAGCCGCGGUAAUACGUAGGGGGCAAGCGUUGUCCGGAAUUAUUGGGCGUAAAGCGCGCGCAGGCGGUUCCUUAAGUCUGAUGUGAAAGGCCACAGCUCAACUGUGGAGGGCCAUUGGAAACUGGGGAACUUGAGGACAGAAGAGGAGAGCGGAAUUCCACGUGUAGCGGUGAAAUGCGUAGAUAUGUGGAGGAACACCAGUGGCGAAGGCGGCUCUCUGGUCUGUAACUGACGCUGAGGCGCGAAAGCAUGGGUAGCGAACAGGAUUAGAUACCCUGGUAGUCCAUGCCGUAAACGUUGAGUGCUAGGUGUUAGGGGGUCCAACCCUUAGUGCUGCAGUUAACGCAAUAAGCACUCCGCCUGGGGAGUACGGCCGCAAGGCUGAAACUCAAAGGAAUUGACGGGGGCCUGCACAAGCGGUGGAGCAUGUGGUUUAAUUCGACGCAACGCGAAGAACCUUACCAGGUCUUGACAUCUUCGGACAGCCCAAGAGAUUGGGUCUUCCCUUCGGGGACCGAAUGACAGGUGGUGCAUGGUUGUCGUCAGCUCGUGUCGUGAGAUGUUGGGGUUAAGUCCCGUAACGAGCGCAACCCCUGAUCUUAGUUGCCAGCAUUCAGUUGGG